This 1698-nucleotide ribosomal RNA is filed under the name uncultured Pseudomonadota bacterium. RNAcentral's name for it is "bacterial SSU rRNA". The stretch from base 1 to 857 matches the Rfam family "Bacterial small subunit ribosomal RNA", at positions 666 to 1533 of the family's 1533-position model. The record is from RNAcentral. Lineage: Bacteria; Pseudomonadati; Pseudomonadota.
AUUCCCCCGGUUAACCGUAAAAUGGGUAAAUAUCCGAAGAACACCUUGUGGCGAAAGCGGUUUAAUAGCGAACCAUUAACGUUGAGGCGCAAAGGUAAGGGGAGCAAACCAGGAAUAGAUACCCUGGUAGUCCUAGCCCUAAACGAUGAAUGGUUGGUUGACCAAGUACCCAAUCCUGUCGUGCCGGAGCUAACGCAUUAAGCAUUCCGCCUGGGGAGUACGUUCGCAAGGCUGAAACUCAAAGGAAUGGACGGGGGCCCGCACAAGCGGUGGAGCAUGUGGUUCAAUUCGACGCAACGCGCAGAACCUUACCAGCCCNUGACAUCCCGGUCGCGGUUUCCAGAGAUGGAUUCCUUCAGUUCGGCUGGACCGGAGACAGGUGCUGCAUGGCUGUCGUCAGCUCGUGUCGUGAGAUGUUGGGUUAAGUCCCGCAACGAGCGCAACCCCCGUCCUUAGUUGCUACCAUUCAGUUGAGCACUCUAAGGAGACUGCCGGUGAUAAGCCGCGAGGAAGGUGGGGAUGACGUCAAGUCCUCAUGGCCCUUACGGGCUGGGCUACACACGUGCUACAAUGGCGGUGACAAUGGGAUGCUAAGGGGCGACCCUUCGCAAAUCUCAAAAAGCCGUCUCAGUUCGGAUUGGGCUCUGCAACUCGAGCCCAUGAAGUUGGAAUCGCUAGUAAUCGUGGAUCAGCAUGCCACGGUGAAUACGUUCCCGGGCCUUGUACACACCGCCCGUCACACCAUGGGAGCUGACUCAACCAGAAGACGAUCAGGCUAACCGCAAGGAGGCCUUCGGCGAAGGUGGGGUUGGUGACUGGGGUGAAGUCGUAACAAGGUAAAUCGAAUUCCCGCGGCCCGGUGGAAAUGCGUAAGGAUUAGGAAGGAACACCCAUUGCCGAAGGCGGUUUUUUUGGAUUUAACUCAACCUUGAGGCUUCGAAAGCGUGGGGAGCAAACCGGGUUUAGAUACCCUGGAGCUCCACCCCCGACAACGAGCAACCCACCCGCUCGGCCUUCCACGACCUCCGCCCCCCCCCCAACGCACCUCCCACUCCCGCCCGCCGACUCCGCUCGCACGCCUACCACUCAACCGACCUGCCCCGGCCCCCCACAACCCGCGGAGCACGUGGUUUACUUCGACCCAACGCGAAGAACCCUACCCUAGACCUGACAUCUCCCGCAUUACUCUUAAUCGAGGAAGUUCCUUCGGGAACAGGAAGACAGGUGGUGCAUGGUUGUCGUCAGCUCGUGUCGUGAGAUGUUGGGUUAAGUCCCGCAACGAGCGCAACCCCUAUUGUUAGUUGCUACCAUUAAGUUGAGCACUCUAGCGAGACUGCCCGGGUUAACCGGGAGGAAGGUGGGGAUGACGUCAAAUCAUCAUGCCCCUUAUGUCUAGGGCUACACACGUGCUACAAUGGCCGGUACAAAGAGAUGCUAAACCGUGAGGUGGAGCUAAACUAUAAAACCGGUCUCAGUUCGGAUUGUAGGCUGAAACUCGCCUACAUGAAGCUGGAGUUGCUAGUAAUCGCGAAUCAGAAUGUCGCGGUGAAUACGUUCCCGGGCCUUGUACACACCGCCCGUCACACCAUGGGAGUUGGUUGCUCCAGAAGCAGGUAGUCUAACCGCAAGGGGGACGCUUGCCACGGAGUGGUCAAUGACUGGGGUGAAGUCGUAACAAGUAAAUGAAUUCCCGCGGCC